This 475-nucleotide ribosomal RNA is filed under the name Gadus morhua (Atlantic cod). Its description in RNAcentral is "partial LSU". It matches the Rfam family "Bacterial large subunit ribosomal RNA", at positions 626 to 1222 of the family's 2925-position model. The record is from RNAcentral. Lineage: Eukaryota; Metazoa; Chordata; Actinopteri; Gadiformes; Gadidae. RNAcentral also lists the same sequence under 1 other name.
UUUAGCAAGAAAACUACAAGCAAAGAGCCCUUUAGUUUGUAACCCCGAAACUGAGCGAGCUACUCCAAGACAGCCUAUAAAGGGCAAACCCGUCUCUGUGGCAAAAGAGUGGGAAGAGCUUUGAGUAGAGGUGACAAACCUACCGAGCCCAGUUAUAGCUGGUUGCCUGUGAAAUGAAUAGGAGUUCAGCCCUUUAAGUCUUUCCCCCCUCACCCAUGCUUACGCUAAAAUUGAUUAAGGAAACUAAAGGCGUUAAUCAAAAGGGGUACAGCCCUUUUGAUAGAAGAAACAACUUUAACAGGUGACCCAAGAUCAUAUUACCCAAGGAUUUCAAAUUAAGUGGGCCUAAAAGCAGCCAUCUUAUCAGAAAGCGUUAAAGCUCAAAUUAGCCUAUAUCCUCAUAUACUGAUAUUACAUCUCCCUCCCUGCCCCUUACCAGGCUGUCUUAUGCCCCCAUAAGAACAAUUAUGCUAAA